UGGCUCUGGCAUCGAUGAAGAACGCAGCGAAAUGCGAUACGUAAUGCGAAUUGCAGAAUCCAGUGAGUCAUCGAAUCUUUGAACGCACAUUGCGCCCGCCAGCAUUCUGGCGGGCAUGCCUGUCCGAGCGUCAUUUCCACCCUCGAGCCCUGUAGCUCGGUGUUGGGGGUAACCUACGGCCGCCGUAGGCCCUGAAAUACAGUGGCGGACCCUCAGGCACUUCCGGGCGCAGUAGUUACAUUCUCGCCUUCUGGAAGGGCCUGGCGGGUUCCUGCCUAGACACCGCCGUCCAGGCGGUGGACACACCUAAGGUUGACCUCGGAUCAGGUAGGAAUACCCGCUGA
RNAcentral lists this unclassified non-coding RNA (344 nucleotides) under uncultured fungus. RNAcentral describes it as "partial contains 5.8S ribosomal RNA and internal transcribed spacer 2". The stretch from base 1 to 133 matches the Rfam family "5.8S ribosomal RNA", at positions 22 to 154 of the family's 154-position model. Lineage: Eukaryota; Fungi. The record is from RNAcentral.